GCGAUCGCGAGGCUCCUAACUGACGCACUGCACGCCGUCCUCGCAACGAACGCCUAUCCAGAAGCCGCCAUAUGCGAAUGCUCCAGCUUACGACGCAUGCUUGGUACUGUGCAAUUCCGGAAGGGAAGUGGGCGGCAUUUCUGUCGGCAAGCAAUAACCGUGACAGCGUGCCCUCGCUCAAUAGUUUCAAUGUAAUCGUUGCUCGGGCACUAAUAUGGCAGUAUAUAAAUCACGAAGGCUAACGCCAUGGAUGCGCUCUCAUGGAGUUUGCCGUUGCGCCAGUGAGAAGCAGGCAUCCUUGGAUCACGGAGACGACAAAAGAUUGCCGAAGACUGAGACGCAGGAAAGGGUGAACUGAGAUGCUGGAGAACCUUUCGAAUGACACAACGACAACAUAGAACGAGAAAAACGAUAAUAAUAAUAAAGGCGGCUU
This is a long non-coding RNA of Dermacentor albipictus, 433 nucleotides long. RefSeq lists it as uncharacterized. NCBI's taxonomy places the organism in Eukaryota, Metazoa, Arthropoda, Arachnida, Ixodida, Ixodidae. The record is from RefSeq and is a predicted model, not a curated record.